This 377-nucleotide ribosomal RNA is filed under the name uncultured eukaryote. Its description in RNAcentral is "partial 18S ribosomal RNA". It matches the Rfam family "Eukaryotic small subunit ribosomal RNA", at positions 592 to 976 of the family's 1831-position model. The record is from RNAcentral.
CAAUAGCGUAUAUUUAAGUUGCUGCAGUUAAAAAGCUCGUAGUUGGAUUUCGGGUGGGAAUGGCCGGUCCGCCGUUUCGGUGUGCACUUGCUACGCCCACCUUGCUGCCGGGGAUGUGCUCUUGAGUUCACGCUCGGGACACGGAGUCGGCGAGGUUACUUUGAGUAAAUUAGAGUGUUCAAAGCAGGCCUACGCUCUGAAUACAUUAGCAUGGAAUAACACGAUAGGACUCCGGCCUAUCUUGUUGGUCUGUAGGACCGGAGUAAUGAUUAAGAGGGACAGUCGGGGGCAUUCGUAUUUCAUUGUCAGAGGUGAAAUUCUUGGAUUUAUGAAAGACGAACUACUGCGAAAGCAUUUGCCAAGGAUGUUUUCAUUAA